CCUACGGGAGGCAGCAGUGAGGAAUAUUGGUCAAUGGGCGCGAGCCUGAACCAGCCAAGUAGCGUGAAGGAGGACUGCCCUACGGGUUGUAAACUUCUUUUGUCAGGGAGUAAAGUGAGGCACGUGUGCCUUUUUGUCUGUACUUUAUGAAUAAGCAUCGGCUAACUCCGUGCCAGCAGCCGCGGUAAUACGGAGGAUCCGAGCGUUAUCCGGAUUUAUUGGGUUUAAAGGGAGCGUAGAUGGGUUGUUAAGUCAGUUGUGAAAUGUUGGGGCUCAACCGUAGAAUUGCAAUUGAUACUGGCAGUCUUGAGUGGAGUAGAGGUAGGCGGAAUUCGUGGUGUAGCGGUGAAAUGCUUAGAGAUCACGAAGAACUCCGAUUGCGAAGGCAGCUUACUAGACUGCCACUGACACUGAGGCACGAAAGCGUGGGUAUCAAACAGGAUUAGAUACCCCAGUAGUC
Molecule: ribosomal RNA, 460 nt
Filed under: uncultured bacterium
Lineage: Bacteria
Description: partial 16S ribosomal RNA
Rfam family: Bacterial small subunit ribosomal RNA
Source: RNAcentral